GACGGAAGGUGCAAGCGUUGCUCGGAAUCACUGGGCGUAAAGGGUGCGUAGGCGGCCGUGCAAGUCUGGCGUGAAAGCCCCGGGCUCAGCCCGGGAAGUGCGCUCGAAACUGCACGGCUCGAGUGCCGGAGGGGAGAGUGGAAUUCCUGGUGUAGCGGUGAAAUGCGUAGAUAUCAGGAGGAAUACCGGCGGCGAAGGCGGCAUCCUGGACCAACACUGACACUGAGGAGCGAAAGCCAGGGGAGCAAACGGG
This 253-nucleotide ribosomal RNA is filed under the name uncultured bacterium. Its description in RNAcentral is "partial 16S ribosomal RNA". It matches the Rfam family "Bacterial small subunit ribosomal RNA", at positions 524 to 776 of the family's 1533-position model. The record is from RNAcentral.